UUUUUAUUAUAAGUAUAUCCCAAGCAAUGUUUGGAAUAUACUUAUACUAAAA
This 52-nucleotide microRNA precursor is filed under the name Otolemur garnettii (small-eared galago). Its description in RNAcentral is "mir-1302 microRNA precursor family". It matches the Rfam family "mir-1302 microRNA precursor family". Lineage: Eukaryota; Metazoa; Chordata; Mammalia; Primates; Galagidae. The record is from Rfam by way of RNAcentral.